Molecule: ribosomal RNA, 496 nt
Filed under: Fusarium flocciferum
Lineage: Eukaryota; Fungi; Ascomycota; Sordariomycetes; Hypocreales; Nectriaceae
Description: eukaryotic LSU rRNA
Rfam family: 5.8S ribosomal RNA (bases 127-280)
Source: RNAcentral
GUGAACAUACCUUAAUGUUGCCUCGGCGGAUCAGCCCGCGCCCCGUAAAACGGGACGGCCCGCCAGAGGACCCAAACUCUAAUGUUUCUUAUUGUAACUUCUGAGUAAAACAAACAAAUAAAUCAAAACUUUCAACAACGGAUCUCUUGGUUCUGGCAUCGAUGAAGAACGCAGCAAAAUGCGAUAAGUAAUGUGAAUUGCAGAAUUCAGUGAAUCAUCGAAUCUUUGAACGCACAUUGCGCCCGCUGGUAUUCCGGCGGGCAUGCCUGUUCGAGCGUCAUUUCAACCCUCAAGCCCCCGGGUUUGGUGUUGGGGAUCGGCUCUGCCUUCUGGCGGCGCCGCCCCCGAAAUACAUUGGCGGUCUCGCUGCAGCCUCCAUUGCGUAGUAGCUAACACCUCGCAACUGGAACGCGGCGCGGCCAUGCCGUAAAACCCCAACUUCUGAAUGUUGACCUCGGAUCAGGUAGGAAUACCCGCUGAACUUAAGCAUAUCAAU